Molecule: RNA transcript, 805 nt
Organism: Culex pipiens pallens (northern house mosquito)
Lineage: Eukaryota; Metazoa; Arthropoda; Insecta; Diptera; Culicidae
Exons: 4
Source: RefSeq, a predicted model, not a curated record
AACCUUAUCUUAUCCGAAUACCUUGUCUUUUUACAGCUCUUGUUGUGAAAGAAGUGACAUUUUGAGCGUACCUCGUCGUUCACGUUAAGAAGAGCUGGACCACAAUGUCAAUAUUCUCGCCUUUAAUUGGAAUUAGUUUUUUGCAUCAAAUUUUAGAGCAGACUUCAAUUGCAAGCAGUUUAACCAUGGGCCAACCAAUGUCCCGUCCCGAGCCGCGCAUGGCUACACUGAUUGCACUGGUGCAAGGUGCCAACAGGGCAGCGAGGCGUAUCCAGAACUCCAACCCCCACGACAUUCAGGUAGCAGAACGGUACAACGACCUGAUGCACCUUAGGAGGGCAUUCAACAGAGUGAUGCUGAGGCAGAUGAGUAGCGAGAUUAUACGGGACGAAGAUUUGGCCGCCGAUAGGGAAACGUUCGAACAAUAUUAUUACGAAGCGAGGGAAAUUCUGUGGAGACUCCUGGAAAGGAACGUACCGAUCUGGAAAGAGAACACAUAGGAGAGCACAUUGAGCCGCCACCACUACGUUUACACGUUUUGGAAACACUUGUUGGCGCUACAUGGAGGAUCGCAUUUGACGUUACCAGUGGCAGUAUGGACUUCCGCUACGAACCUCAACAGACAAAUGUUCUACCCCGCUAACAAAGAGCUUUUUUAUGUUUAUGAGAUGUCAUGUUGACAAAGCUCAUUAAGCCGAAAUUGUUGCAUUCUCUAUUUGUAAGAGGGCCUAUAACCUAUGCGAUUCCCUUUGUUUAUAGGGCCUUUUCAAAUAAAUCUCUGGUAAUAAAAUAGAACAUACACUCA